RNAcentral lists this ribosomal RNA (429 nucleotides) under Actinomycetes bacterium. RNAcentral's name for it is "Actinobacteria bacterium partial 16S ribosomal RNA". It matches the Rfam family "Bacterial small subunit ribosomal RNA", at positions 355 to 776 of the family's 1533-position model. The record is from RNAcentral. Lineage: Bacteria; Bacillati; Actinomycetota; Actinomycetes.
UAGGGAAUCUUCCGCAAUGGGCGAAAGCCUGACGGAGCAACGCCGCGUGAGUGAUGAAGGUCUUCGGAUCGUAAAACUCUGUUAUUAGGGAAGAACAAAUGUGUAAGUAACUAUGCACGUCUUGACGGUACCUAAUCAGAAAGCCACGGCUAACUACGUGCCAGCAGCCGCGGUAAUACGUAGGUGGCAAGCGUUAUCCGGAAUUAUUGGGCGUAAAGCGCGCGUAGGCGGUUUUUUAAGUCUGAUGUGAAAGCCCACGGCUCAACCGUGGAGGGUCAUUGGAAACUGGAAAACUUGAGGGCAGAAGAGGAAAGUGGAAUUCCAUGUGUAGCGGUGAAAUGCGCAGAGAUAUGGAGGAACACCAGUGGCGAAGGCGACUUUCUGGUCUGUAACUGACGCUGAUGUGCGAAGGCGUGGGGAUCAAACAGG